RNAcentral lists this ribosomal RNA (1005 nucleotides) under Triticum aestivum (bread wheat). Its description in RNAcentral is "partial small subunit ribosomal RNA". The record is from RNAcentral. Lineage: Eukaryota; Viridiplantae; Streptophyta; Magnoliopsida; Poales; Poaceae.
AUGAGACUUCCUAAAUCCAUGGGGGGUAUGGGAUUUAGGGAUAUGAGAGCGUUCAACCAAGCGUUGUUGGCCAAGCAAGCUUGGAGACUUCUUGAUUCCCCUGACAGCCUAUGUGCGAGAUUGUUGAAGACAAAGUAUUACCCUCAUGGUCAGUUGUUAGACACAGUGUUUCCAAACACUGGUUCUGCGGUGUGGAAAGGUAUAUUGCAUGGGUUGGAGUUGUUGAAAAGAGGAGUUAUAUGGCGGGUGGGGGACGGGGAGCACAUCCGGACGUGGCGAGACCCCUGGAUCCCACGGCCAUCCUCCUUCCGUCUGAUCACCCCGAAGGGAACCUGCCGUCUAAAUCAUGUUUUAGAUUCUCUGGACGCCAAUGGGGCAUGGAGGGCUGAUUGUCUUCGUGAAUAUUUUUGGGAGAUGGAUGUUCUACAUAUUCUCAAGAUACACACCUCUCUAAGGCAGCGUUCCGACUUCCUGUCAUGGUUUCCAGAGAAGAGUGGAGUAUUUUCAGUUAAGAGUGCAUACAAAUUAGUCACAUGCGAUCAUGAUACAGUUUUUUCUGAAGGGGCAUCAAGUGCGGCGGCAAAUGGUUCCCGCUCUCUUUGAAAUUGUGUGUGGCAAUCUUUGGUUCCGCAGAAGAUGAAGAUAACUGCGUGGAAAGUUGUUUCUAGAGUACUACCGACGCGACAUAUAUCCACAAGCUCAACUUGCCGACUAUGUGGUCUGGAGGAGGAAGGCACAUAUCACGCCCUGAUCGCAUGCGACCAUGCGAGAGAAAUUUGGCUACAUAUGCGUGCAAGAUGGCCCCUUCCACCUGAUGAUCUCCUAGUUGAUAAUGGAAGGGAAUGGCUUAUGCACCUUUUAUACAUAUGUUCCGAUGAUGUACGUGACAUGCACUGGUGGAAAAAGGGCCUUUGGUCGCGGUUCGCAACUGCCAUUAGUCGCGGUUGCGCAACCGCGACCGAACGGGCGCGACUAAAGGCCCCCCCUUUAGUCGCGGUUGCUUAA